AGCGUACACGGUGGAUGCCCUGGCAGUCAGAGGCGAUGAAGGACGUGCUAAUCUGCGAUAAGCGUCGGUAAGGUGAUAUGAACCGUUAUAACCGGCGAUUUCCGAAUGGGGAAACCCAGUGUGUUUCGACACACUAUCAUUAACUGAAUCCAUAGGUUAAUGAGGCGAACCGGGGGAACUGAAACAUCUAAGUACCCCGAGGAAAAGAAAUCAACCGAGAUUCCCCCAGUAGCGGCGAGCGAACGGGGAGGAGCCCAGAGCCUGAAUCAGUGUGUGUGUUAGUGGAAGCGUCUGGAAAGGCGCGCGAUACAGGGUGACAGCCCCGUACACAAAAAUGCACAUAUUGUGAGCUCGAUGAGUAGGGCGGGACACGUGGUAUCCUGUCUGAAUAUGGGGGGACCAUCCUCCAAGGCUAAAUACUCCUGACUGACCGAUAGUGAACCAGUACCGUGAGGGAAAGGCGAAAAGAACCCCGGCGAGGGGAGUGAAAAAGAACCUGAAACCGUGUACGUACAAGCAGUGGGAGCCUCUUUUAUGGGGUGACUGCGUACCUUUUGUAUAAUGGGUCAGCGACUUAUAUUCUGUAGCAAGGUUAACCGAAUAGGGGAGCCGAAGGGAAACCGAGUCUUAACUGGGCGUUAAGUUGCAGGGUAUAGACCCGAAACCCGGUGAUCUAGCCAUGGGCAGGUUGAAGGUUGGGUAACACUAACUGGAGGACCGAACCGACUAAUGUUGAAAAAUUAGCGGAUGACUUGUGGCUGGGGGUGAAAGGCCAAUCAAACCGGGAGAUAGCUGGUUCUCCCCGAAAGCUAUUUAGGUAGCGCCUCGUGAAUUCAUCUCCGGGGGUAGAGCACUGUUUCGGCAAGGGGGUCAUCCCGACUUACCAACCCGAUGCAAACUGCGAAUACCGGAGAAUGUUAUCACGGGAGACACACGGCGGGUGCUAACGUCCGUCGUGAAGAGGGAAACAACCCAGACCGCCAGCUAAGGUCCCAAAGUCAUGGUUAAGUGGGAAACGAUGUGGGAAGGCCCAGACAGCCAGGAUGUUGGCUUAGAAGCAGCCAUCAUUUAAAGAAAGCGUAAUAGCUCACUGGUCGAGUCGGCCUGCGCGGAAGAUGUAACGGGGCUAAACCAUGCACCGAAGCUGCGGCAGCGACACUAUGUGUUGUUGGGUAGGGGAGCGUUCUGUAAGCCUGUGAAGGUGUACUGUGAGGUAUGCUGGAGGUAUCAGAAGUGCGAAUGCUGACAUAAGUAACGAUAAAGCGGGUGAAAAGCCCGCUCGCCGGAAGACCAAGGGUUCCUGUCCAACGUUAAUCGGGGCAGGGUGAGUCGACCCCUAAGGCGAGGCCGAAAGGCGUAGUCGAUGGGAAACAGGUUAAUAUUCCUGUACUUGGUGUUACUGCGAAGGGGGGACGGAGAAGGCUAUGUUGGCCGGGCGACGGUUGUCCCGGUUUAAGCGUGUAGGCUGGUUUUCCAGGCAAAUCCGGAAAAUCAAGGCUGAGGCGUGAUGACGAGGCACUACGGUGCUGAAGCAACAAAUGCCCUGCUUCCAGGAAAAGCCUCUAAGCAUCAGGUAACAUCAAAUCGUACCCCAAACCGACACAGGUGGUCAGGUAGAGAAUACCAAGGCGCUUGAGAGAACUCGGGUGAAGGAACUAGGCAAAAUGGUGCCGUAACUUCGGGAGAAGGCACGCUGAUAUGUAGGUGAAGUCCCUCGCGGAUGGAGCUGAAAUCAGUCGAAGAUACCAGCUGGCUGCAACUGUUUAUUAAAAACACAGCACUGUGCAAACACGAAAGUGGACGUAUACGGUGUGACGCCUGCCCGGUGCCGGAAGGUUAAUUGAUGGGGUUAGCGCAAGCGAAGCUCUUGAUCGAAGCCCCGGUAAACGGCGGCCGUAACUAUAACGGUCCUAAGGUAGCGAAAUUCCUUGUCGGGUAAGUUCCGACCUGCACGAAUGGCGUAAUGAUGGCCAGGCUGUCUCCACCCGAGACUCAGUGAAAUUGAACUCGCUGUGAAGAUGCAGUGUACCCGCGGCAAGACGGAAAGACCCCGUGAACCUUUACUAUAGCUUGACACUGAACAUUGAGCCUUGAUGUGUAGGAUAGGUGGGAGGCUUUGAAGUGUGGACGCCAGUCUGCAUGGAGCCGACCUUGAAAUACCACCCUUUAAUGUUUGAUGUUCUAACGUGGACCCGUGAUCCGGGUUGCGGACAGUGUCUGGUGGGUAGUUUGACUGGGGCGGUCUCCUCCUAAAGAGUAACGGAGGAGCACGAAGGUUGGCUAAUCCUGGUCGGACAUCAGGAGGUUAGUGCAAUGGCAUAAGCCAGCUUGACUGCGAGCGUGACGGCGCGAGCAGGUGCGAAAGCAGGUCAUAGUGAUCCGGUGGUUCUGAAUGGAAGGGCCAUCGCUCAACGGAUAAAAGGUACUCCGGGGAUAACAGGCUGAUACCGCCCAAGAGUUCAUAUCGACGGCGGUGUUUGGCACCUCGAUGUCGGCUCAUCACAUCCUGGGGCUGAAGUAGGUCCCAAGGGUAUGGCUGUUCGCCAUUUAAAGUGGUACGCGAGCUGGGUUUAGAACGUCGUGAGACAGUUCGGUCCCUAUCUGCCGUGGGCGCUGGAGAACUGAGGGGGGCUGCUCCUAGUACGAGAGGACCGGAGUGGACGCAUCACUGGUGUUCGGGUUGUCAUGCCAAUGGCACUGCCCGGUAGCUAAAUGCGGAAGAGAUAAGUGCUGAAAGCAUCUAAGCACGAAACUUGCCCCGAGAUGAGUUCUCCCUGACUCCUUGA
RNAcentral lists this ribosomal RNA (2786 nucleotides) under Escherichia coli. RNAcentral's name for it is "bacterial LSU rRNA". It matches the Rfam family "Bacterial large subunit ribosomal RNA". The record is from RNAcentral. Lineage: Bacteria; Pseudomonadati; Pseudomonadota; Gammaproteobacteria; Enterobacterales; Enterobacteriaceae.